CACCAGAUCCAAGUCCUCCUCCCAAAACAUCUCGUCUUACGGUUCUGAAGCUGAAGAUCUCGACUACGCUGCCACUGAAAGACAAGGAUGAAAUCGAGAAGGCGAUUAAAGGUAAGCUGGUUGCAGGAGGGCUGCCUGCAGACAUAAAGGUCCGUCUGCUCAGCUUCGGUCCAGCUAAUAAAACCGCUGCCCCCUAGUGGCCAAAUAUGAGAAUGAA
Long non-coding RNA from Poecilia latipinna (sailfin molly), 217 nucleotides. RefSeq lists it as uncharacterized. Lineage: Eukaryota; Metazoa; Chordata; Actinopteri; Cyprinodontiformes; Poeciliidae. The transcript has 3 exons. The record is from RefSeq and is a predicted model, not a curated record.